UCCGUAGGUGAACCUGCGGAAGGAUCAUUAUCGAGUUUUGACUGGGUUGUAGCUGGCCUUCCGAGGCAUGUGCACGCCCUGCUCAUCCACUCUACACCUGUGCACUUACUGUGGGCUUCAGAUCGUAAAACGGGUCCCUUUACCGGGCCUGCGGAGCGUGUCUGUGCCUGCGUUUAUCACAAACUCUAUAAAGUAUCAGAAUGUGUAUUGCGAUGUAACGCAUCUAUAUACAACUUUCAGCAACGGAUCUCUUGGCUCUCGCAUCGAUGAAGAACGCAGCGAAAUGCGAUAAGUAAUGUGAAUUGCAGAAUUCAGUGAAUCAUCGAAUCUUUGAACGCACCUUGCGCUCCUUGGUAUUCCGAGGAGCAUGCCUGUUUGAGUGUCAUGAAAUCUUCAACCUACAAGCUUUUGUGGUUUGUAGGCUUGGACUUGGAGGCUUGUCGGCCGUUCUUGGUCGGCUCCUCUUAAAUGCAUUAGCUUGGUUCCUUGCGGAUCGGCUCUCGGUGUGAUAAUGUCUACGCUGCGACCGUGAAGCGUUUGGCGAGCUUCUAACCGUCUCAGUUGGAGACAGCUUUAUGACCUCUGACCUCAAAUCAGGUAGGACUACCCGCUGAACUUAAGCAUAUCAAUAAGCGGAGGA
RNAcentral lists this ribosomal RNA (640 nucleotides) under Ganoderma destructans. Its description in RNAcentral is "eukaryotic LSU rRNA". The stretch from base 232 to 385 matches the Rfam family "5.8S ribosomal RNA". Lineage: Eukaryota; Fungi; Basidiomycota; Agaricomycetes; Polyporales; Polyporaceae. The record is from RNAcentral.